UCUGUAGCCCUCUGGCCAGUGGGGAAAAGAAAUACUGGGCAGAAGGCACUGGGAAGGUAUCCAUUCACCCAUACUUUUCUGGGAGUCUUACCCACCGGCCUGUACUUCGACUUUGCAACACCGUUGCAGUUCUUGGCAAUGGCAUCCUGGAAGCCAGCAGGGGUAUAGCCCUCCCUAGCCUUCUCCCUCCCCAAAUUGGAGGAGUCGGUGUAAGGAACUUUGCAGGCGAGUGAGGUGCUCCAGGCAACAAGGAAUCCGGGUCCCUUUUCCUAGUGAAGGCUACGCACUCUGUGUCCUGGGACCUGCAAACAGAAAACCGCGGUUUCUCGAAGAACCUCAGCAAAUGGUCUCACGAAGUUUGUCGGCUCCUUAACCCAGGAAGAACGAAGACAAGGAAAAUUCUCUAUUUUAAUCCCGGGCAGUUGGCCGGGGAGCACUGAAAAAGAUCAGAAACACCCCAAAUCCAGCUUUUAAUCACUCCCCGUCCAGAUCCACAAAUAUGAAAAUUAUCUUAUUGAGAAAUUGUUAUUCCUUUAUCCCCAAAGUCCAUGCCGCUCUAACACCUACCGAGGACAAUGUGUACUUGUCUUCUCAUAAGCAUAAUUAAACCAAGCAAAGCAGGACAUCAGGAUCCCAAACCAGAUAGAUCCCACUUAGUAGUGAGCUCUCUUGAAAGAUCCUUCUAGACUCACCAAGACAAGAAAGAUAUACCUAGUGACAGCCAUUCACAGCCAUCUCUGAGCCUCCAGAAACUAGACAAGAUGUGAGAAGAGCAUGCCGGGGCUCCUCCAAUUACCUGUUGGUGAACUAGAAAGUCGGGAUGAACACCUCUAGCUAAACUGUUCUCUCAAGUUCCCAUUUUAGGUAUUUCUACUGUUUGCCCACUGCCUAUUAGGCUGGAAGCUCACUAUAGGAAAAGUAAAUAUUGUCAUUUCAAAU
This 939-nucleotide long non-coding RNA is filed under the name Cricetulus griseus (Chinese hamster). RNAcentral describes it as "lncRNA (ENSCGRG00015038989.1)". Lineage: Eukaryota; Metazoa; Chordata; Mammalia; Rodentia; Cricetidae. The record is from RNAcentral.